GCAUGUGCACGCCUUGUCAUCUUUAUAUCUCCACCUGUGCACCUUUUGUAGACCUUUCAGGUCUAUGUUUGCUUCAUUUACCCCAAUGUAUGUUAAUAGAAUGUUGUGCCUAUAUAAUAUAUACAACUUUCAGCAACGGAUCUCUUGGCUCUCGCAUCGAUGAAGAACGCAGCGAAAUGCGAUAAGUAAUGUGAAUUGCAGAAUUCAGUGAAUCAUCGAAUCUUUGAACGCACCUUGCGCUCCUUGGUAUUCCGAGGAGCAUGCCUGUUUGAGUGUCAUUAAUAUCUAUAUCAACCCUCCUUCUCUUGUGUAGGAGUGGUUUGGAUUUGGGGGUUUGCUGGCCUCUUUAAAAGGUUCAGCUCCCCUGAAAUGCAUUAGCAGAACAAUCCUUGUUCAUUGGCGUGAUAACUAUCUAUGCUAUUGAAUGUGAGGUGCAGUUCAGCUUUCUAACAGUCCUUUGGACAAAUUUAUCAUUAAUGUGACCUCAAAUCACGUAGGGACUACCCGCUGAACUUAAGCAUAUCAU
RNAcentral lists this ribosomal RNA (526 nucleotides) under uncultured Cortinarius. RNAcentral describes it as "eukaryotic LSU rRNA". The stretch from base 125 to 278 matches the Rfam family "5.8S ribosomal RNA". Lineage: Eukaryota; Fungi; Basidiomycota; Agaricomycetes; Agaricales; Cortinariaceae. The record is from RNAcentral.